This 468-nucleotide ribosomal RNA is filed under the name uncultured bacterium. Its description in RNAcentral is "partial 16S ribosomal RNA". It matches the Rfam family "Bacterial small subunit ribosomal RNA", at positions 28 to 507 of the family's 1533-position model. The record is from RNAcentral.
GACGAACGCUGGCGGCGUGCUUAACACAUGCAAGUCGAACGGAAAAGCGCUGCUUUUUUGGGGUGCUAGAGUUGAGAAGGGGAGAGUUGCCUGUGAGUUACCUGGCCUGGACUUUGGGAUAACUUAAGCAAACUGGGGCUAAUGCAGGAUGGGAGCUCCUGCUGCUUGGUGGUGGUUGGAAUGUUUCGGCGGUUGGGGAUGGAGUGUCGGCUUAUCAGCUUGUUGGUUGGGUGGUGGCUUACCAUGGCUUUGGCGGGUAGCCGGCCUGAGAGGGUGACCGGCCACAUUGGGACUGAGAUACGGCCCAGACGCCUACAGUAGGCAGCAGUGGGGAAUAUUGUACAAUGGUCAGAAGCCUGAUGCAACAGCGCCGCGUGCGGUAUGAAGGCCUUCGGGUUGUAAAGCGCUGUCGCCUGUUACGUAGCUUGAUUGACGUUAAUUGGAAAAGAAGCACCGGCUAACUACGUG